This 230-nucleotide unclassified non-coding RNA is filed under the name Chromochloris zofingiensis. RNAcentral's name for it is "partial internal transcribed spacer 2". The record is from RNAcentral. Lineage: Eukaryota; Viridiplantae; Chlorophyta; Chlorophyceae; Sphaeropleales; Chromochloridaceae.
UUACCCAUCGCUUCUCAACCCCUGGUUGAUGCCUGCCUGCCUUUGCAGUUGGCUCGAAGCGGAUCUGGCUUUCCCAAUUGCCUUUUGGUAAUUGGGUCAGCUGAAGCACAGAGGCUUGAGCAAGGACCCUUAUUGGGCUUCAACUGGAUAGGUAGAACUGGUCUUGUGACCAACUACACGAAGUUGUUGCUUGUGGUCUUUGUCUGGAGGCCAGCAGGAAACUCUUAUAC